Molecule: unclassified non-coding RNA, 7159 nt
Filed under: Limulus polyphemus (Atlantic horseshoe crab)
Lineage: Eukaryota; Metazoa; Arthropoda; Merostomata; Xiphosura; Limulidae
Description: cTD small phosphatase-like protein 2-B, transcript variant X2
Source: RNAcentral
CAAGCUGGGCGGGAAAGCAACGCUUGAUGGUCGACUGCGAAAAUGGAGGUAUACGUUCUAAUACAGAAGUAUUUCCUCAUUUAUUACUGUCGUGUAACGAAGUGAAGAUUGACUGUCGGAACUAGACAUGUUCGGCAGAAGUUGGGUAUUCUUAAGUGAUGCCUGUAACAAGGCGAGUGAGAGGAAGGCGCUGGAGAAAAUCGACAGAACUUGUUCAAACCAACAGGUUUGACAGCUGGAGUUACCCGUGGCUUGUUGAAAUCUUGAAAGAAAAAGAUGUGGACUGUAAUAUUCAAGAUUGUGUAACAUCGGUCAAGUUGGCAGGACAUAAGAGACACUUGAAUAAGAAGUCACUGCAGAAGCAGAAGCAGAUGCUCAAAGAAAAAGAAGAAGGGACAAUUCUACAUCAAAACAGCAAACAAGAAAACAUGUGUUUUUCUGAGAAACUUAUAACAAGUGUAGAUAAGAUACAAGUAGCAGAAAAACACUCCCUUAUCAAAGAAACUGUUUUCAAUGAUGGUAUUCAAACCUCUGAUCCAGCAAGUGCGUUGUUUUCACCUGUGUAUCAUCUUCUUCAAGACUGUGAUGGGGACCUGGAGAAACCCAACAUUACUUCAUUAGGAGCAACAGCAAUAUCUAUUGAUAUGGAGGGGGUAUCUGGUGGAUCCCUGCAUCCCCCUACUUCAGCUGUACUGGAAAUGCCUUGUGAAAUACCUGGAACUCAAGGGGUAUUUUCAGCCAGGGCUUGUCAUUCUGAAACGACACAGUACGAUAUUCAGGUGUCAGUGUAUAAUGCUAGUUACCCCUCACCUCAAGAAGCUGAAGUAGCCGAAGAAUGGGAGACUUUUAAUCCAUAUUACUUUAUCAAACAUCUGCCCCCACUUACUCCAGAAAUGCUUGCCCGAUGCCCAGCCCUUCCACUGAAAACUAGAAGUAGCCCCGAAUUUUCCCUAGUGUUAGACUUGGAUGAAACUUUGGUCCACUGUAGUCUGACAGAACUUGAAGAUGCCACUUUCACCUUUCCUGUCACGUUUCAGGAGGUGGAGUAUAAGGUUUACGUUCGCACCAGACCAUUUUUUAGAGAGUUUUUAGAGCGUGUUUCCAAGAUUUUUGAGGUUAUCCUCUUCACAGCAUCUAAAAAAGUGUAUGCCGAUAAAUUGUUAAAUUUGCUAGACCCUGGCAGAAAAUUAAUAAAGUUUAGACUCUUCAGGGAGCAUUGCGUCUGUAUCAGUGGAAACUACAUCAAAGAUCUGAGCAUUCUGGGGCGUGAUCUCUCUAAAACUGUUAUUGUGGAUAACUCACCACAAGCUUUUGGUUAUCAGCUUGAAAAUGGAAUCCCCAUUGAAAGUUGGUUUGUUGACAGAAAUGACAAAGAGUUGUUGAAGUUGAUACCCUUUCUUGAAAGCCUUGUUGCUAUGAAUCAAGAUGUUCGGCCACACAUCUGCAACAAGUACCAUUUAGCUAGUUUUCUUCCACCCGAUUAACCCAUCCUUCAACGGAAUCCUGCCGUACAUUGAGGAACAUCAUCACGCUGCUUUGGAAUCGCUCUUCUUUGUUUUGUUAUUUUAGUAGGUAAAAACAAACAAAAAAAAAGAAUUUUUAGUGUAAGUUUGCUUUCUGUCGAGGUACUGUUAAAGGUCUUAGCUUUUUUUUUUUCUAUAUAUGUUUAAAUAUAUAUAUAUAUACAUUUAGGAUGGCCUUAAGUUUAUUUGACACUGUUUCAAUUGCAUCUUCUUUCAUACAAGAAGAAAAAAAUUUUAGUUAAAUAUAAUUUUUAACUUUGUAGCAGAAAUGUUGAUUAGUAAGUGCGUAGUUAUGUUCGAUCAUUUGACCGUAGCAAAAAGAUGAAACCGUUUUUGUAACAAUCUUGGACCAUAUCUUUGUGAUAAGUCUUUCGUCAUACAAGAUAUAGAGGAAGCAAGAGUUACUUUUGAAUUACAUUGUAUAUAUAUAUAUAUAUAUAUAUAUAGGUAGCUUUUUUAGGUUUUACUCAUUUGUUUUAACCUAAGACAUUGUUUGUUAGAUGUGUAAUUCCCAUGUUAAAAUCAUGUUUUACAAAACCAAAUAUCAUAUUGUUACCCUUGAAUCUUUAGUUUCUGAAAAACAAAAUUACUUGAUUUCUUCAAACAAAUAUAAUGAACAUGUAUAUAACUUUUUAAACAUUUUUCAUCUAAGUAAAUUAAUAUUACGACACAUUUUUUGUAACAGUUCUCGGUCUUAACUCCUUACUGUCUCUGCUCUAAGUUUUUGAACAUAGACUCAUAAAAUAGAACUAAGUCCAUUUAUUCAAGAUAGAAAUUAAUAUUGGGGGAAGUAUUCUUCAGUAGAGAGAGAGAGUGUAUAACUGCUUUAUUUUUUCCCACAGAACUAUCAGUUUUAUAAUAUAGAUAUUUAAAAUACCGACGGAACGUGAAGUGUCUUUAAGUUGAAACUAAUUCAGAUGCACCAUUUUAAGGAUAUACUAAACCAGUUAAAAUAAGAUGAAAAUGAAAAAAAAAUGUCAUCUUCAUCUACCAGGUGAAACAUUUUUUUAUAGCUAGCUGUAACUUUAACCCUUUUUAUAAUAUUUUAAAAGUAGAUUUCUGUUUUUAAUGUGAUUUUACCAGCUCUUCUCUUGACAAAGAGAAGGAUGUAUAAUGAUUUCACAGUUGUGCUCCUCCAACCGAGUUUUAACAUGCAUUUGGUCAAAUAAACACUCUAAGUAAAAAACAUUAAGUUGCAUUUCAGUAUACCACUUCUGAAAUAUUUAGGACUCAAAAUUGUAAUAUAAUGCAAUUUUUUAGGUUUUUAAUUUACUAUGUAAAUUGCAUUUGCUUUCCCCCCCUUUUUUUUUCAAUAGUUUGAUAUAUUUUACACUUUUUUGAAACUGACAAUCCAACCAAGGCUUCUUGAAUUGUUAUGAGACAGGCUGUAAUGACUCUUACCAGCUUGUGUUACUGUGUGUGUGUAUAUAUGUAUGUGUAUUUUAAUCUUUAUUUUCCACAUUCUGUUAUUGUGCAGUGAUAGAUUCUUGAAUUCUCCACCUUGUGGUCUGAUACGUAGUUAAGGCAAACCAUUUUCUAAAUACGUGAAAAUUAUUCAUGAAUAUUUUGUUUUAUUUUUUUCCCAAAGAAAUUAUUGUUAAUAUUACAUUUCUGUGUAUGUAGAAAUUUUAUUAAAAGUUUAUUUUGAAAAAAAAAUAACAUACAUAAAUGUUUAGCAACUUAUCCAGUAAUGCUCGCCACAUUUUGUUUGUCACGACAUCUCACUAUUAUCAGUUGUAUUGAUAUAUAAAAUGUGGAAAAUUGGUUUGUUUAUAAUAAUAUUCCUAUGGUAUCAUCAUCAUUGACUUCAUUGUAAAAUAGAUAAGAGGAUUUGAUUGGUAUUACUAAGACAUCAUGCGUGUCAAAUCAGGCUUUCUAGCAGCUGUACCAGAAACUCUGAGGAAUAAUUAGCUUCGUCGUGUAAAAACUUCUUGCAAGUGGAUCGUAUACCAGUAUCUAGAGACACAAACUUAAUGUGAUUCCAAACAAAUGGAAGUAACAUACCUAAUAGAUGAGCAUUGUUACCGUUACGUGACGUUACUCACAAGUCAGAUCGUUCAAGCUGCUGCGCGAUACCCAUUCCAGUGUUUAUUUGGUGCCUAAAAGAAUUUAAAACUUUUUUUUUUUUUUUGGCAACCAUCAUUGUUCAACCUGGAAUACCAUGCUGCCACAAUGCAGGCUUUGAAAUUAAUAUUAUAGUAAACUGUUUAGGUACACGAAGAAGAGUGUAACAUCUAGAAAUAUUCUUUCAUAAUACUGUAGUAAUUUUCGUACUAACUUCUGAACUAGAAGCAAGGAAAAUUCUACAAUUAAUUAUAAGCAACACAAUAUUAAGAACAAAUCCACAUCUGCCCCCCCCCCUUAGUUAUGCUAAUUGAUUACUAAUAUAUCAAUAGUGUAUAUUCUAAGUGUCAAAAUACACUUCUCAUCAACGUGUAGAAUUAUGGUUUUAAUACACCAGUGUUUAGUAAUCCACUGUUACUGGCUUAAUAAAUGAUGUCUUAGUCUUCAAAUACAAUAUUACUUUGUAACAGGUGCAGUGAAUUGAUAAAUGCAUUUCUAUAUUAACCUCUUCAAAUUGAUGCACUUGGCUUGGACUGCAGUACGUCAAAAUAUAGACGCACGAAAAUGAAGACUCGGAACUAACCAGUCUUUAAAUCUCAUGUUCUAAACAUUCAGCGUUUCUACUAAUAUGACCAUGUCAAUCAAACAAUUGACUACAAUGUCUACAAGAAGUAGUUACAGUGGCAGGAUAUGAAUGACAUUAUACAUAAAAUAAAUACAGGUAUUUGCAGUACUUGUUAAGUUUACUAUCACUGAUAACUGUAAACCAGUCUUUGACAAAAGUAUCAACAAAAUCAUGUCACAGAACCUGAAUACUGGUGAAAAGUCCUGGAAGUUUAUGGUAUAUAAUUCGUGACAUUUUUGAAAUUUGAAUAAAAUGUUAGGAAAAAUCCUGGAAUUUUUAGGUAUGCCAGAAAGCCUGAGAAAAAGAUAAACCAUUAAACAAAAAACUGGACUCAAUGAGUAAUCCCAGAAAGCAGUCAUUUCUUUUUCAGAGAUUAUUUGGGAGUUAAAUUUUUAAGAUUUUAAAUAUUCCAUUUUAUCAACAGAGAAAAACUUUUUGUAUUUGAAUUAUAAAUAUGUAUUAUCUUUUUUAAACUUUAUAUGGAGUGGAAAAUUAAAUAAUGUAUUGAUAUUAUCAGUACAAAAACCCUAACGAACAAAACGUACAGUAAGGCUACGAAGAUGAAAAGAAACGAGUGAGACAAUGUACAAGUGGAAACAGAAAUCUUAGUAAAUUAUCAAGUUUUCCACUCGUUACAGUAAUAAUGAUUAUUUCUUACCUCUUUUUCUUCUAACUCCCACAAGAGUAAACUGGUCAACCCUAACUUGGGAUAAGGGUACCAAAAAACAGCAGUCAUGCCUUCCAUACACAAACUAUAAUAUCACUGGUCUCAAAAUUUCUGGAGUGAAGCCCCAUUUAAUAAAACAAAUGAUUAGAAUUUCAGUGUUAUAUACCAAAAUGUCUUACUUGUGUACAUGCAUUGUCUUGUUUGUUUUUUCACAUCCUUAAUGUACUUUUUUUUGUCCGUUAGUGUUUUUGUAUUGAUUGUUUAGAGGUUUUUAUUUUGUCAAGAAGCAUCCAAUAAUCUGCAGGUACAUCUAAUUACAAUUUUAAACAUAAGUAUCAUAAUGUACCAAAGGUAAAUUUAUUGACCACUGGUCAUGUGUGACCACUACUGGUUUUAGUGGGUCAAGUUUACUAAUUAUAACUGUGGUAUAAACCUAUAGUGGUAUACCUAGGAAUCUAUAAAGGGCCAUCUUUUCUCAUGUAUUGUUAAUAUUUGUUACUCAGGUUACACUAGGCUUCAACCAUAAUCAUUAGAUAAUGACAACAAAAGUUGACAUCAGGUUACUCUAGGCUUCAACCAUAAUCAUUAGAUAAUGACAACAAAAGUUGAAUCAGGUUACUCUAGGCUCCAACAAAAGUUGACAUCAGGUUACUCUAGGCUUCAACCAUAAUCAUUAGAUAAUGACAACUAAAGUUCCAAGUCAGUAAAAUUUCCAACCUCUCUACUAAUAGCAAUCGUGCAGUGACAUAUUCUAAAUAUCAAAGAGCACCUAACAGAUAAAACUGAUAUUUGUAUAUAUAUUAAAGUCAGUUAAAGCUGUAUGCUGAAACACCUUGUAUGAACAAGUAGAACUGUACAUAUAUAUACAAGUUCUCUUAUUAAUUAAAGCUUAAUAAUUAAUGCUAUUUUAUAAUAAACAUAUACAUGUAGGCUUUUAAGACAUGAAAGAAAAUAUUGUUCUGAAAGGUUUGUUUUUAACUGUGGAUAUUAUAUGUUAAAACACUCGGUUAUGGCCCACCUUAAUACACAGUACUGUGUCUUUUUGAUAGGAAACCAAUAAUUCAAGUAGUUAAUACAUUAUUAAUACAUAGUUUUAAUGGAGUUUUCUCAGCUAGUUUGAAAACUUUAUGGCUAUUAAUUUGAAGUACUGUUAUGUAAUUCAGUUUUGCAAACGUUUAUGUAUGUGAACAAGUUACCAUUUUAAAUCACCGUGCUUCAAUUUGGGAACAGAAGUGUUCAAUUGAUGGAAAUUUAAUGAUACUUUUUGUGGGAAAAGCUUAUAUAUAUAUAUUCUUAUUUUUUAUGUAGAAAUAUAGACUCGUUAUAUGGGAAAGGUAGAGCAUAGAGCAAUGUUUUUUUUGUAAACAGCAGAAGCAUAAAUGAAAUGUAUUCAAUUUGUUAUUUAAACGGUAACGGCAUGUUGGUUUACGGAUUUAGUAUUUUACACAUUUUAGAAUGUUAUUCGAUUUCAAACUGUACCGACUGUUUUAUAUUACGAGAUUAUUAAAGUUCCGGAACAUACAUCUAUCGAUAACUUGGAGUUUCUUACAUUUUAACACGCUUGGCCCGUUAGAAAUAUUGAAUAUGGACAAUUAUAUUUGUAAUCACUGUACAGGUUCCUUUGUCCGGUAAAAUCAACUACAUAUUCUUGCUAGAUCAAAGUUUGUCCAGAGAUCUCUCCGUUUUCUUUACCCAUCUUGUGUAUUUUAUGGCCAAAAUUAUUAUAGUGUAACCCUGACAUUCAUGUUACUUAUCAGGGUUCUCCCAUUAUUAAAUGUUCUGUUACUUUGUUUAUAUUACAAUUCUUGAAACUGACAAAGGAAGUGGUACUGUGAUAAUGAAUAGAAGAAAAAAAAAGUGUAUUUGUCAGCAGUUUAUUACUUUUUGUCGUAAAAAAGUGUUUUACAUCAUAAGACUGUUAAAAACAUUGUAUUCUCCCCAAUUUCAUAGGUAUUUUAGAAUAAGUAAAAAUCACAAGGUAAAAAUUAAUUUGAUAUAAAGCGAACUUGUAUUGAAUUUGUAGCUGUACUUUUGUUAGAAGUUUUCAACAAAUACUUCUCAGGCCAAAGUAUUUUUGCAGCGAGUGAUUGGGGUAAAUUAAUGACAUAUUUAAUAUUCCAAUGAUAUUUGGCAAGACAAAAAUUAUAGAUGUUUAUUUUUGGAACAUUGGCUACUUAUGUAUGUUGUUUUUGUCAUUACACAGUAAACUUUAUUGUACUGAUCUGUGUACACAAAAAUCAACAUAUUUAGAGAGGAAUAAAUGUUUGUUGGCACUUGUAA